RNA transcript from Triticum dicoccoides, 2155 nucleotides. It is a transcript of the gene named microfibrillar-associated protein 1-like, with no coding region annotated. The transcript is spliced from 4 exons. Lineage: Eukaryota; Viridiplantae; Streptophyta; Magnoliopsida; Poales; Poaceae. The record is from RefSeq and is a predicted model, not a curated record.
CAGGCGCCCCCGGCUUCCCUGAUCUCAUCCCCGUUCCGGAAGGCUCGACCUCCUCUGGCGGCGCCGCCGGAACCUCCACCGCCUCUGCCCCCUCCCACCCCGCACCAAAGCACCGCCCUUCCUUCCCCUCCCCUCCCCUCCACCGGAUCCAUAUCAGACGCGCUUCUUUCCUUUCAUGGGCAAUCAAACCCUAGCCUACUCGGAUUUGUCUUCGCUUUAUUAGGGUUAGGCACCUCCUGCUCCGGUGCUCCCCCCUCCCCAUCACCGCCACAAGCCGUCCGUCGCCCGUCCACGUCCAGCGGCGGAGCGCGAGCGCCAUGUCCGUGGCGGCGGGGGUCAGCGAUGCGGCCAUCGCGGUGCGCGACAAGCUCCGGGGCAAGAUCGGCCAGACCAAGGUGAAGCGCUACUGGCCCGGGAAGAAGCCCGAGUGGGCCGAUGAGGCCGAGGACGACAUCGACCUCCGGGCGGCCAGGGUCUCCCUCGACGAGGCCUUCCCCAAGGCCGAGGAAGGGGACCGGGACCGGGACCGCCCCCCCAAGGACGACCGGCGGCUCCGGCGGCUCGCGGAGACGCGCGCGGAGAACAAGGAGGAGCUCCGGGCCGACCACCGCCGCAUCCGGCAGGCUGAGAUCGUGUCCACCGCUGAGGAGGAGCGGGACAGGCAAGAGGCCCAGGUGGAGGAGGAGGACGACGAGGACGCGCAGGAGGAGCGGCGGCGGAGGAUCAAGGAGCGGCAGCGCCUCAGGGCGCAGGAGGAGGAGGAGCUGCUCCCGCAGGAGGACGAGCCGCUCGAGGAUGACGUGCAGGAGUCGGAGGAGUUCGAGUACGAGACCGACUCGGAGGAUGAGCAGAUGGGCAUGGCCAUGGUGAAGCCCGUCUUCAUCCCCAAGGCGCAGCGGGACACCAUCGCCGAGCGCGAGCGGCUGGAGGAGGAGGAGCGGCAGGUGGAGGAGACCAUCAGGAAGAGGCUCGAGGCUAGGAAGAUCGAGACCAGGCAGAUUGUGGUGGAGGAGAUUAGGAAGGAUGAGCACAUUCAGAAGGCGCUCAACGAGGAUGCUAGCGUCGAGGAUGUCGACACGGAUGAUGAGCAGAACGAAGCUGAGGAGUAUGAGUCAUGGAAGAAUCGUGAGAUGGCGCGGAUUAAGAGGGACAGGGAGGAAAGGUAUGCACGGUUGAAGGAGAAGGAAGAGAUUGACAAGGUGAGGAAUAUGACUGAGGAGGAGCGCCGGGAAUGGGAGAAGAAGAACCCCAAACCUUCUCUCCAGAAGUCCAAACAGAAGUGGAACUUUAUGCAGAAGUACUACCACAAGGGUGCCUUCUUCCAGGAAGGCGGUGAUGACGUGAGCCAGUCAGCUGGUAGAGAUGCUAUAUACACCCGUGAUUUCUCUGCGCCCACCGGUGAAGAUAAGAUGGACAAGAGCAUCUUGCCUAAGGUCAUGCAAGUCAAGCAUUUCGGGCGGAGUGGCAGAACAAAGUGGACACAUCUUGUUAAUGAGGACACUACCGACUGGGAUGCACCAUGGGCUACAAACGGGCCGCUGCGAACAAAAUAUAAUGCAAAAAUGGCGGGCAUGAAUGCACCUAUUGCUAAACCAAAGGGAAGUAAGAAGAUGAAGGAUUGGGAUACGAAACGAGAUGAUUAAAUGUUUGUUGCUGGCUGUGUGACCUGGUACACUGCUGAACAUGGUGAUUAUGCAGAUGUUUUUCUUCUUUAUGUUGGUCGCAUAUGACACAUGUGCCAUCAUUUGGCUGCCCAAAUCCUCCCCGACUACCCCGAAGCCCGGGCAGACCCUCCUGAACUGGACUGCUGGCCCGAAACAGUAGAGAAGAGGUGAACUGCUGUUAUAAGUAACGCCAUCGCCCAUCUCAUCUGGGAGCCUGUCUGGUAAUUUGAUUGGAGAUUUGAAGUAACAAUCCAGGCAUGUAGCUGCAGUCUUUGUAUAAAUACUGUUGCUGAUUUCUCAAGGAAUAAUGUUCAGACAUGUUACUGGAUUAGCCAACCGAUGUUUGUUGGCUCUUCUGAGAAUUGGAUUCCACGUCAGGCCUUUGUGUUGGACCUUCCUCCUUAUAAAAAGGGGAAAUGUUCAAGUUACACCUCUACUUGUAUGAAAAUCCUGAUUACUCUGAGCCUUGCUAUAAACUGGUCGCUUUUCGA